This 309-nucleotide unclassified non-coding RNA is filed under the name plant metagenome. RNAcentral's name for it is "partial contains 5.8S ribosomal RNA, internal transcribed spacer 2, and large subunit ribosomal RNA". The stretch from base 1 to 105 matches the Rfam family "5.8S ribosomal RNA", at positions 50 to 154 of the family's 154-position model. The record is from RNAcentral.
UCCCUUCUAUCAGUAGUGUGAAUUGCAGAAUUCAGUGAAUCAUCGAAUCUUUGAACGCACAUUGCGCCCCUUGGUAUUCCAUGGGGCAUGCCUGUUCGAGCGUCAUUUGUACCCUCAAGCUCUGCUUGGUGUUGGGUGUUUGUCCCGUCUCCGCGCGUGGACUCGCCCCAAAGUGAUUGGCAGCCGGCGUACUGGUCCCGGAGCGCAGCACAUGUCGCGCAAACGAGUGCCUUGGUACGGCGGCGUCCAUAAGCCCCUCUCUCACGCUCUUGACCUCGGAUCAGGUAGGGAUACCCGCUGAACUUAAGC